Molecule: small RNA, 306 nt
Filed under: Arabidopsis thaliana (thale cress)
Lineage: Eukaryota; Viridiplantae; Streptophyta; Magnoliopsida; Brassicales; Brassicaceae
Description: ATSL256270
Source: RNAcentral
AGUGAGAUCUUAAUAAAAAAACGUGUAUUACUACAAAAUAUCAUGAUAAAAAAAGAUAUUAAACGGAAUAGAAUGUUUUUUUCAAAAAAUACCAUGUGCUUUUUAUAAAUACUAUGUAAUAAGAGAAAAUAACAAGAUAAAAAAAGCAUAUUAUGUUAUCGCAUGUAUUUCGGAAAAAUAACAUGUUACAAAGGACAUUUACGUAAUUACACGUGUUCUCUAAUAUGUUUCCGACAAAAUACUGUGACUCAAAGUUAAUUUGUAAUUCUUUUCAAAUCUAUAGUCAUUUAUUAUAAAUACUCUUGU